GCAGUCGAACGAUGAAGCCCUUCGGGGUGGAUUAGUGGCGAACGGGUGAGUAACACGUGGGCAAUCUGCCCUUCACUCUGGGACAAGCCCUGGAAACGGGGUCUAAUACCGGAUAUGAGCCCGGGAGGCAUCUCCCGGGUUGUAAAGCUCCGGCGGUGAAGGAUGAGCCCGCGGCCUAUCAGCUUGUUGGUGAGGUAACGGCUCACCAAGGCGACGACGGGUAGCCGGCCUGAGAGGGCGACCGGCCACACUGGGACUGAGACACGGCCCAGACUCCUACGGGAGGCAGCAGUGGGGAAUAUUGCACAAUGGGCGCAAGCCUGAUGCAGCGACGCCGCGUGAGGGAUGACGGCCUUCGGGUUGUAAACCUCUUUCAGCAGGGAAGAAGCGCAAGUGACGGUACCUGCAGAAGAAGCGCCGGCUAACUACGUGCCAGCAGCCGCGGUAAUACGUAGGGCGCAAGCGUUGUCCGGAAUUAUUGGGCGUAAAGAGCUCGUAGGCGGCUUGUCACGUCGGGUGUGAAAGCCCGGGGCUUAACCCCGGGUCUGCAUUCGAUACGGGCUGGCUAGAGUGUGGUAGGGGAGAUCGGAAUUCCUGGUGUAGCGGUGAAAUGCGCAGAUAUCA
This 624-nucleotide ribosomal RNA is filed under the name Streptomyces sp. D1436. Its description in RNAcentral is "bacterial SSU rRNA". It matches the Rfam family "Bacterial small subunit ribosomal RNA", at positions 57 to 699 of the family's 1533-position model. The record is from RNAcentral. Lineage: Bacteria; Bacillati; Actinomycetota; Actinomycetes; Kitasatosporales; Streptomycetaceae.